GCUGCGUACUGGACCGAUUGACGCUCAGAAGGGAGCAGCUGCCUCUCUCUCUCUCAACAACCGGGUGGGUAGGUUGGUUCCUCACUUGCGGUUGUCAGGUGAGUUCUUCUCGCUAAACUGGAUUCUCCUCUCACAGUUGCAGGUGUGGCAUUGAGAGAAAAACACUCUUUCCCUGACCCUGGAUUGGAACGCUAACCUUGUCUUCAAUUGCUUUGAACUUUUUCAAAGAAAUGUGUUCCUUUUGUGGACAAAAAUAUAUAUAUUUUGAGACAUUUUUGUAUGACGACUGAUGAUUUACAUUUUUUUAAAUUGUAGCGACAAUUUAGAUAUAGGAUGCACGUGGCCACAAUAUACAAUAUAGACAUAACACGUAAAGCUAAUUUGUGGCUUUACUAUAAUUUACAACAAUGGUGCGCUCCAUUUGCUUACCUGACUGCCCAGGAUGAUAUAGACACCUUUUAUUUGUAAUUUGUGCAAACAUAUCUAUAUUGUGGCCAUUUUAUUUCCGCCGAAUCAUGUCUGGGGUUGCAAUCCCCGUUCCUUCCCUAUUCGUAAAGUAUCCCUUCCUGUGAGACAUUUUUGGAUCGCGUGCUAACAGUCGGCAACCAAAAGUGUCGCACGCAUUCUCAGCCAGGAUGAUAAUACGUAAUCGGCAGCAGUCAACACGACCAGUCCUAGGCGUAGCCCCACCCCUGGCCCCAAAUUCAGCUGGGAUAGGAAAUGAGGCCUGGCACUAUGAAAACGCUUGGAUGGAUGCUGGAUGCUUCCAGUGACCACAUGUAACAAGUGUAAGACUUCAUGACGGCUUUAUUGAUGGAAAAUCAUAGCGACUACACACAAUACA
Molecule: long non-coding RNA, 844 nt
Organism: Hippocampus zosterae (dwarf seahorse)
Lineage: Eukaryota; Metazoa; Chordata; Actinopteri; Syngnathiformes; Syngnathidae
Exons: 3
Source: RefSeq, a predicted model, not a curated record